This is a long non-coding RNA of Glycine soja, 865 nucleotides long. RefSeq lists it as uncharacterized. Lineage: Eukaryota; Viridiplantae; Streptophyta; Magnoliopsida; Fabales; Fabaceae. The transcript has 3 exons. The record is from RefSeq and is a predicted model, not a curated record.
GAUGUUGUUGUCAUUAUAUAUUAAAAAUCUGAAAUUGCAGAACCCGCGCGCUCGAACCCUAUCGUUCUUCUUCUUUCUCCUUCUGCUUGAGUUCGUCUUUGUCGCAAACUGGGUUGCGCUUCCGUGACUGCAACCACAUUGUGGAGUUCAUGUUUGUGGAGUUUGUCUCUGCCACUUAUUGAUUGAGGUACGUCCUUUCGUUUUAACAUUAGGCGUUCCUCGUUUUAACAUUUGCUCGCUUUCGCAGGUCGAAGAAAUCUAGGAAAGGAAAGAGUCCCAGAAAGGGUGGGAAUCGAUUUUGGAAGUGCAUUGUGGUUCACCUUAAGACUCCCAGGGCGUUCUUCUUCUUUCUCCUUCUGCCCUAAGUUCGUCUUUGUCGCAAACUGGGCUGCACUUCCGUGACUGCAACCACAUUGUGGAGUUGGUCUUUGUGGAGUUCAUGUCUGCCACUUAUCGAUUGAGGUCGAAGAAAACUACGAAAGGAAAGGGAGGGAAGCGAUUUUGGAAGUCCAUUGUGGUUGGCUUUAAGCCUCCCAGGGAAGCCAUUGAAGGCUUAUCAUUUACUACUGCUAAUUGGCAUUGCUGUGGAAGCUCUUUGAUUAUAGCAACUCUAGGUACGUUUGUACGGUCUACUAUCUUUAUAUGUAUUAUGAUAGACUACUGUUUUGACAUUUGUCAUAGCAUUUAUAUACACAUAUACUACUGUAUUUGUUUGGUAGAUAAAUUGUUGUAUUUGUUUGACUAACUUAUCUAAGAUCAAUUCAGUAUUUGUCAAUAGUACUCCUCCCCUAAAGCUAUCUUUGAAAUCCAGCUUGUGCUGUUGACACACACACAGGCACACACACACACACACACAGCCACAGAC